This is a long non-coding RNA of Epinephelus moara (kelp grouper), 1632 nucleotides long. RefSeq lists it as uncharacterized. The record is from RefSeq and is a predicted model, not a curated record. Lineage: Eukaryota; Metazoa; Chordata; Actinopteri; Perciformes; Serranidae. The transcript has 3 exons.
GUUGAUAGGUGUGGUUGGCAGGGAUGGCGUGGCAGAGAAUAGAAGUGGGGUAAAAUAGCAGGAUGUAGGUGAGAACAGGGCGGUGAGCUGAGGGCGAGGGCAGUUUCAGGUCAGGAGCGGAGGUGAGGAGCUCCACGUGAGGGGUCAGCAGAUGGUGACCACGCUGUCGUCAUCCACCGAUGUCUGAACACUCAGGUACUUUCUUUUUAGUAGCUGUGGUCACCGCGGGGCUUGUUUAUUGGCUUGUCCGUUCUUGUAAACUCUGGUACUUUCUCUUUGCGGUCCCAUCUGUCUCUCAUCACUAAAUGACACCAGAAAUUUUUCAUCACACUUCUAUAAAAAAAAUAAAAAUAAAUCUGAAGUGUCGCGAGAUGAAGCGUCGCUCUGAAAUCUACAGCUGAGACAAGAUGCACAUAAAGUAUUUGUUUAUGUAUGGGUGGAGAGUGAAGUGCUGCCAGUGAGGCUGGAAGUCAUAAAGACCCCUCUACUGUGGCCGCUGUGUGUGUUUUCGGGGGGGGGGGGCUGCUCUUAUGUCCCUGCCUCCUUUCCCUUAUUUUUGAAGACCCCGGGUGCACACACACACACACACACACACUCACAGAAGGAGAGGAGGAGAGAAGGAGAGAAGGAGAGAAGGAGAGCGCGAGGGAAAGGCUGCCCUUACUCUUUUCCUCCUCCCUCUCCCCCUCCCUCUUCCCUCCUCUCUUUUUUCUGAAUGGAUGUCCUCUCUCUAACCUCAAUUGAGAGCUGUGUAACAGGACACUGCCCUCCGCCGCUUAGGCUCGGCCCCCUCUUUAACAGCAACGCUAUAAGAGAGAGCAGCGUCGCUCCUGAGUGUGUGUGAGAGUCGGACAGUGUCAGUCAGGGGGCUGAGGGAGAGGAGGGUGGGUGAAGGGUGAGAGAAGACAGAGGGAGACUGCUGUGAAACAUGUGAUAGCGCAACUUUGGCGGGGCUUAUAGGGAGUUUAACGGCUGUGGUGUCUCCAGAGCUCUGGGAAAGCACCUUUAGCCCAGAGGGAGCCUCACACACUGUCUGUGUGUGUGUGAGAAAAUGUGUGUGUGUGUGUGUGUGAGGGCGCUGCUGCUGUCACUUUAAGCCUGUUACUGAUUACACUCAGAAGAAUGCAACGGGAGGAGGAAAAAAAAAAAGAGAGAGAGAUGAGGAGGCAUGUAAGGAUGAAAUCUUUUAGGAGUUGAGCUCCGGCAACUUUUGUGUGACUUGUCCUCGCAGCCGUGGACAGUGACGUGGGUGAGAAGUUGUUACCCAAUAGCGUCUCUCCCUCUCUGUCUCUUUCACUCUCUGCUGGACCAAGCAAAGUUAAAGUGAAGGGGAACCCGGGAUCCCUCUGUGAAGCAGGGACAGAGCAAACAGGACACCCAGACAUGGAGGAAAAGAAAGACACCACAGAGAAAGAGACUGAAUGAACAGGGGGGUUCCCUCAUUCCUCGCUCAGCGCCGGGAGGAAACUCUCACCCAGACUGGUUCUGCACAGAUCAAUCCAGAAACACCAUCAACCAUGUGUUCCCAGGGCCAUUCCACUGAGAGAUGGACUCAGCUGCAGAAGUGCGGAGUCUCCCCGCCCAGGCUCGACCGAACCGGCCGGCCUUCACGGUUCACGGCUCUGUGGCUGC